Capsicum annuum is the source of this 599-nucleotide long non-coding RNA. RefSeq lists it as uncharacterized. The transcript is spliced from 2 exons. The record is from RefSeq and is a predicted model, not a curated record. NCBI's taxonomy places the organism in Eukaryota, Viridiplantae, Streptophyta, Magnoliopsida, Solanales, Solanaceae.
AUCACUUAUUCAAUUAUUAUCUUUGAUCUCUUAAGCAAGCUUUUCUCUUUAUUGCUCUCUUUGUUGCAAUUUCAGUUAAUAUCUCUUGGGAUCCUAAAGUGAUCGCUUUAAGAGACUUAACAAUUGAUGUUGCGAAGAUGAAAGUAAAAUUAAUUCUUCCAUUUGAUAACGAUAUUACUUGUUAUCGAAGAUGCAAUUCACAUAACGGUUGCAGUGAUGAAAUUUUCUGUAGAACUUGUUCUUACUCUAAACCAUAUGGGUUUGAUCAUGGUAUUUAUGAUUGUUCCAUGUGGUGAAGUUCAGGAUUGUUAUUGAUGAAGGUUAUUUUGGAUUCAUCCUUUAAACAAGUUAAAUAAUGUUGUGUUAUCAUGUUUGUGUAAGAAAAAUAUAUAUGUAAUCUUAUAACUUUUUCAGAUACUGAAAACUAUUCGCUUUAAUAGGUUACUGAUGAAGGUUUAUUUGUGACUAUCUUUUGAGCAAAUUAAAUAAUGUUGUGUUGUCAUAUUUGUGUUAGAAAAAUAAAUAUGUAACCUUAUAAGUUUCUCAGAUACUAGGAAACUAUUCGAUGUAAGGUUAUUGAUGAAGGUUUAUUUGUGAUA